CAACUGGAAUGUGGAGGACGGGGAUCGACGGUUCGGGCCCGGCCCCAUGAUAAAUAUUUUCAAGGAGUGGGACCCGAGUCUUGAAUCCGGUCCUCCAGAGUGGAAAGUCGAAACGUUAAAAAAUCAGUUUUUAUUUAAUAAUUUGAAAUCAAAUUAAAAAUUUUAUCACAUACGGAAUAUUAAAAAUAUCUGUUUAAUGAAUUAAAUUUAUAAAUAGGGUCUAUUUCUAAAUCAAUGAAAAAAAAUGAAUUUCUUUUUUUAAUUGUUACUUCUUUGAAAACAAGUGACUAUUAACUGAUCAGUGAGAGAUCUUGGGUGAAGGAUUAGCAGUCUCCUAAGACGAAAAUUAUGAGGAAAUGCAAAAAUGCAGUUGAAAUUCUACACAUAUGCUUAAUUAUAUUUAUCUCGACAAUAUUUCGUGUUAUAGAGUCGGCCUACAAAGAUAUAGUGAUUUAUAUUUCUAAUCGAUAAUGCUUAUCAAGGAAGACAGAAACCAAUAACAAUUAAAUUGAUUAAUUGAUAAAUAAUUAUUAAAUGAUUUUACCUGGUUGAAUGCAAGAAAAACUAAACUAUAUUUCACGUUUAUUAUAUUAUAAUAAAAAUCAACUCUAUAUAUUAUAAAUGUGUUUUUGGUAGUAUUUUGUUAACUAUGUCUUUCUUUGAAAAAAUGAAUAAUGUAUUUUAUAAGUUUCUCAGUGGCUACGUAUCUAAUGUCAUUACAUUCCAGGUUCAAAGUAUUACAUAUGUUUAUAUAUUAAGGCGAAGAGUGAAGAGGAGAGAGGACACCAUUUUCUAUUGUGGAUCCGAAGAACGAUUGAGACAGGCGUUAGCCUACCGCUGUGAUGCGGUUAGACGUGUGAGUAAGAAUGGCAAACUGUUCCAACACAAACAGAGACAACAACGGUUUGUUAAAACCUGGGAUCU
This 924-nucleotide long non-coding RNA is filed under the name Androctonus crassicauda. The record is from RNAcentral. Lineage: Eukaryota; Metazoa; Arthropoda; Arachnida; Scorpiones; Buthidae.